This 217-nucleotide signal recognition particle RNA is filed under the name Lachnospiraceae bacterium. Its description in RNAcentral is "signal recognition particle sRNA large type". The stretch from base 19 to 211 matches the Rfam family "Bacterial large signal recognition particle RNA", at positions 63 to 249 of the family's 256-position model. Rfam says of the family: The signal recognition particle (SRP) is a universally conserved ribonucleoprotein involved in the co-translational targeting of proteins to membranes. Archaeal SRP consists of a 7S RNA and homologues of the eukaryotic SRP19 and SRP54 proteins. Lineage: Bacteria; Bacillati; Bacillota; Clostridia; Lachnospirales; Lachnospiraceae. The record is from RNAcentral.
ACUUAGACGUAUCGUGCGACCUGCUUCGAGAGAAGCCUCUAUGGCUGCCCUCUAUAAGUGGCGUUGAUAUCUGGGUCUUGCGCAAUGGAAAUCCACGAACCGUGUCAGGGUAGGAAUACAGCAGCACUAAGGGAAUCUUUCAUGUGCCGUAAGGGUGCCUGGGUUGAGUUAACUGUAGAGGUAACGCAUAGGGGUUUCUCCCGAGGCGGGUCUAAUU